GACUCCGUAGCUCAGCUGGUAGAGCAAAUGACUCUUAAUCAUUGGGUCGUGAGUUCGAUUCUCACCGGGGUCA
This 73-nucleotide transfer RNA is filed under the name Bacteroidota bacterium. Its description in RNAcentral is "tRNA-Lys". It matches the Rfam family "tRNA". Rfam says of the family: Transfer RNA (tRNA) molecules are approximately 80 nucleotides in length. Their secondary structure includes four short double-helical elements and three loops (D, anti-codon, and T loops). Lineage: Bacteria; Pseudomonadati; Bacteroidota. The record is from RNAcentral.